AAUGCUUGGGAAUCUGCCCAGUAGUGGGGGAUAACGUGUGGAAACGCACGCUAAUACCGCAUACGUCCUACGGGAGAAAGCAGGGGAUCUUCGGACCUUGCGCUAUUGGAUGAGCCCAAGUCAGAUUAGCUAGUUGGUGGGGUAAUGGCUCACCAAGGCGACGAUCUGUAGCUGGUCUGAGAGGAUGAUCAGCCACACUGGGACUGAGACACGGCCCAGACUCCUACGGGAGGCAGCAGUGGGGAAUAUUGCACAAUGGGCGAAAGCCUGAUGCAGCCAUGCCGCGUGUGUGAAGAAGGCUCUAGGGUUGUAAAGCACUUUCAGUGGGGAGGAAAAGUUUAAGAUUAAUACUCUUGAACCUUGACGUUACCUGCAGAAGAAGCACCGGCAAACUCCGUGCCAGCAGCCGCGGUAAUACGGAGGGUGCGAGCGUUAAUCGGAAUUACUGGGCGUAAAGCGCGCGUAGGUGGUUUGAUAAGCUAGCUGUGAAAGCCCCGGGCUCAUCCUGGGAACUGCAGUUAGAACUGUCUGGCUAGAGUAUAGUAGAGGGUGGCGGAAUUUCCUGUGUAGCGGUGAAAUGCGUAGAUAUAGGAAGGAACAUCAGUG
This 606-nucleotide ribosomal RNA is filed under the name uncultured bacterium. RNAcentral describes it as "bacterial SSU rRNA". It matches the Rfam family "Bacterial small subunit ribosomal RNA", at positions 112 to 714 of the family's 1533-position model. The record is from RNAcentral.